AUGCCCCGCCUUGCAAGGGAAACGAUAAUGGUGCGUAGAUAUGCUGCUGCUCCAUUUGUUCUCCAAACGGACUGUUCAAACCUAAUCAAACUGAUUAAGGAAACGAAGCCGGACAGAUCUUGCUUGGGACACCUGAUACAAGAGUUGAGAAUGAGAAACUUAUUCAUUGAGGCGAGGGAGCUUACUGUUAUAAAAAAAAAAGUAAGACCAACCCAAGGGCUCCCUCGUUGGCAUUUUUUUAUAGAAGAAACUCCGCGAGCACCGCGCGUCCGAGCUGGGACUCGAGCUCGCGUGGGCUGGCAGCAAUCUCAGCUGCCCAGCCAACGGAUCGACGCCCCAUCUUCGGGAGCUUACUGUUAUGAAAGUAGAUAG
This 372-nucleotide ribosomal RNA is filed under the name Triticum aestivum (bread wheat). RNAcentral's name for it is "partial small subunit ribosomal RNA". Lineage: Eukaryota; Viridiplantae; Streptophyta; Magnoliopsida; Poales; Poaceae. The record is from RNAcentral.